UGACCUCAGGUGAUCCACCUGCCUCGGCCUCCCAAAGUGCUGGGAUUAUAGGCGUGAGCCACCAUGCCUAGCAAGGUGAUUGUUUUUUGUCUUAUACAGUUGUGGUCUUAUGUUACUAGAAUUUUCUAAUAAAUUAAACUAUAUUUGCAUUAUCUAAAUAAGCCUUAUCAUGAACAUAUAUAUUUUUCAAAUAUUCUCAAGCCUUUAGCUUUUCAGGAAGCCCAAAUAAGAUGACAGCUUUUAUCAUUAAGAAAGUCUGUGAGCCAUAGGACAAAGAGCUGGUGGACUCCAGCUUGUUCUACAGACAUCCCAGAGCCCGGAGGCUUCAGGAAGCAGCAGCAACUUCAUGGCCGCCCUCUAAACAGAGAUCAAGAUUUCUCAAAAGGUUUGGGACAAAUAGUCAAGAUCUCAAAUUAAGCCUGCUCUUCAUCCUGGAUACCCCAUCUGGUGGAUAAUACCGCCAGCACCCCCACCAUCCUCCCAGCCAGAGCCUGGACACCCCCUGAUGCCUCCCUCCUGGGAGACUGAGUGGCGAGGACAGACCUGGUUUGAGUCAUGGCCCAGGACCAGCAUGCUCCAUCUGGGGAGGUGCUCACUCAAUGUUUAUUGAACAGCGAAUACAGAAAAGACAGUCCCUGGAGCUCUAUAUGUGGAAAGUAGCCCUUCUGGACAGAAAGAAUAUUCGUGGUCCAUGUGGUUUGAGUCUGUUAAGAAGGACACUAAGGCACAUGGCUGGUGAUCUUUGCGUCAUAGACACGGGUGAGCUCAUGGUGGAACUCCUCCUUGUCUGUAGGUUUCCAGGCU
RNAcentral lists this long non-coding RNA (804 nucleotides) under Homo sapiens (human). Its description in RNAcentral is "HSALNT0382480". Lineage: Eukaryota; Metazoa; Chordata; Mammalia; Primates; Hominidae. The record is from RNAcentral.